This 24-nucleotide non-coding RNA is filed under the name Rattus norvegicus (Norway rat). The record is from RNAcentral. Lineage: Eukaryota; Metazoa; Chordata; Mammalia; Rodentia; Muridae.
UGAGUUUGGGUUUUUAAAAGAAAC